RNAcentral lists this non-coding RNA (176 nucleotides) under Chloroflexi bacterium RBG_19FT_COMBO_55_16. Its description in RNAcentral is "6S RNA". It matches the Rfam family "6S / SsrS RNA". Rfam says of the family: E. coli 6S RNA was the first non coding RNA to be sequenced, but its function was unknown until recently. It consists of 184 nucleotides that fold into an extended hairpin structure with a large single-stranded internal bulge. The 6S RNA specifically associates with RNA polymerase holoenzyme containing the sigma70 specificity factor. The record is from RNAcentral. Lineage: Bacteria; Bacillati; Chloroflexota.
GUGACCCUACUGUGCGCGUGUUGCCGCAAACCGGUUCUGAGCCAACACAGUCUAAAUGGGUUCUGAUCUUUCGUCAGUGACGCGAUAGGCCCGAGCCAAGGCGGAUCUGCCGGGAAGGGACCCAACCUGCGAAGGCAGGUUCAGAACUGCGCUGCACACGGCACGGUGGGGUAUUU